RNAcentral lists this ribosomal RNA (384 nucleotides) under uncultured eukaryote. RNAcentral describes it as "partial 18S ribosomal RNA". It matches the Rfam family "Eukaryotic small subunit ribosomal RNA", at positions 592 to 976 of the family's 1831-position model. The record is from RNAcentral.
CAAUAGCGUAUAUUAAAGUUGUUGCAGUUAAAAAGCUCGUAGUUGGAUUUCUGGUGGGAGCGACCGGUCGGCGCUUAACGGCGUGUGCACUGGAGUUGUCUCUUGCCAUCCUUGAGGAGAACGUGUCUGGCAUUAAGUUGUCGGGCUUGGGAUCCUCAUCGUUUACUGUGAAAAAAUUAGAGUGUUUAAAGCAGGCAUUUGCUGUGAAUACAUUAGCAUGGAAUAAUAAGAUAGGACUUUGGUGCUAUUUUGUUGGUUUGCGUACCAAGGUAAUGAUUAAUAGGGAUAGUUGGGGAUAUUCGUAUUCAAUUGUCAGAGGUGAAAUUCUUGGAUUUAUGGAAGACGAACAACUGCGAAAGCAUUUACCAAGGAUGUUUUCAUUAA